UUGAUUCCGUCAAAACUGAGAAAAAGUUUGGGAGAAUUAACAAGGUUUUGAGUGGAUUUGGGUAUCGAAUAAGACGGGGGGUUCGAUUGGAUUGGAUUGGAUCGAUAGAAAAUGGUAUCGACGGAGGGGCUGGUGCCCAUAACAAGGUCUUUUCUGGCUUCGUACUACGAUAACUACCCUUUUUCUCCUCUAUCCAGUGACGUUUCCCGUCUCACUGAUCAGAUUUUUGCUAUGGCUACCACCGAUCUUCUUAAGGACUCUCCCCCCACCCAAGGAGAAAGCUUAUUGGUACAAGAAGCUGAACGCCAACCUCCUCACAAAGUUGAUGAGAACAUGUGGAAAAACCGUGAGCAGAUUGAAGAGAUCCUUUUCAUGUUGGAACCAACUCAUUGGCCCAGAGCGUUUCAGCAACAGUCAACAGUUGAAGACGCUGAACUUGUCUCUCUGCUUGGGCGGCUUCAAGAAAAUUUCAAAUCUACCCUGAGCACUUUGGAGAGUUUUCAAGCCAAAAAUUCCGAGUUUGUUUUCAACACAGUUAUGACCUAUAUGCCACAAGAUUUUCGGGGUACAAUAAUCAGGCAACAGAGAGAUCGCUCGGAGAGAAACAAACAGGCUGCAAUUGAUGCUUUAAUUAGCUCUGGUGGAAGCAUACGUGAUAAAUAUGCUCUGCUAUGGGAGCAACAGAUGGAGCGAAGGAGGCAGUUAGCUGAGCUUGGUUCUGCAACAGGCGUCUAUAAGACUCUGAUGAAAUACUUGGUUGGAGUGCCAGAAGUUUUGAUGGAUUUUAUUCGGCAAAUAAAUGAUGAUCAAGGGCCCAUGGAGGAGCAGCGACAGCGAUAUGGACCACCUCUGUAUAGCCUUACGAAAAUGGCGCAUAGCAUCCGUCUGCUUCUCUCUCUGCUAUGGGGCCGACUUGAAACUAGUAAAUUGCAGAAAAACCAAGUAGUCAUUUUGGAAGAGGCAGCUGAUGUCUACACUUCUGAGUUCCAAAGAUUUAUCAAAUUUAUUGGGGAGGUUUUCACAAAUUCCCCCUUUUUCAUUACUGCAGAGGAUGCCGGUACAUUAUCAAUCAGGAAAGAUGAUGACUACAAAGAAAUAAGUGUUCCAGCUGGGAGUGCUCAUGAGGUGUCUUUAACAGUGGAAUCAGUAAAUUCAUACAUUGCUUGGGAUUUCUCACUGGUACAAGGCAAAUUGAAUGUGGAUAUAGGAUUCAGCGUAGAGUGCACAAAUCUUUCUGGGGAGAAAACUCUGAUAUUGCCGUAUCAGCGUUAUGAAGCUAACCAAGGUAACUUUUGCACAUGCGUUCCUGGAAACUACAAGCUUAUCUGGGAUAAUUCGUACUCAUCAUUUUUUAAGAAGGUCGGUAAAUAAAUUUAUGCCAAACAAGAAUUUUCUGGUUCCACCAUAUGUUUAUGGUUAGUAUUAGUUGCUCAAUACAGUGUACUGAUUGUUAGUGUCGUUUGCAUUGCCAUUGUUUUUGGAACUUUCGAUGGGAUUUUGUUUAUCGUUGCAACUGGAAAUUCCUUUCAGGACAUAUACAAGAUAUAGAUGCAAGCAGAAUGAUGGUAGAAGCUAUAUUAGCAUCUUAUAAGCCCUAGUGGAGCCGUCCCGUUGAUCCAAUUUAUGGAUUUUAAUCAUAAAUUGUAUACUUGCUUGUAAUACUAACCGUCCCUUUUCGCCCCGCUUCUAGAUGUCAUUCUUCAGAGUCUUAAUCAAAUAAUGUUCCCCAUGUUGUCUUCAACUUUAAUAAUUCCCCAUAUCCCUGCUAACUUACCCAAUACUUACAACUGGCUAGUGUUAAUUAGACUACAUUCAGUGGUUGCAACAUUCAUACCCUUGAAACUUUCUGUGAACAUCUGCUUGACUUGUAGAGAUUUGGAAUUUUCUUCAACCAAUUAUUUGAAUAUUAUUUGUGAAUGUUUUUUACGAAUAAGUGACCCAACUUCCCUUUUCCCCCUUCCAACUCUGUUAUGUGCUGA
Molecule: non-coding RNA, 1979 nt
Organism: Erythranthe guttata (spotted monkey flower)
Lineage: Eukaryota; Viridiplantae; Streptophyta; Magnoliopsida; Lamiales; Phrymaceae
Source: RefSeq, a predicted model, not a curated record